UACGUAGGGGGCAAGCGUUGUCCGGAAUCAUUGGGCGUAAAGAGUGUGUAGGCGGUUCAGUAAGUCUGCUGUGAAAGUCCAGGGCUCAACCCUGGGAUGCCGGUGGAUACUGCUGGGCUAGAGUACGGAAGAGGCGAGUGGAAUUCCCGGUGUAGCGGUGAAAUGCGCAGAUAUCGGGAGGAACACCUAUUGCGAAGGCAGCUCGCUGGGACGUUACUGACGCUGAGACGCGAAAGCGUGGGGAGCAAACAGG
RNAcentral lists this ribosomal RNA (253 nucleotides) under uncultured bacterium. RNAcentral describes it as "partial 16S ribosomal RNA". It matches the Rfam family "Bacterial small subunit ribosomal RNA", at positions 524 to 776 of the family's 1533-position model. The record is from RNAcentral.